GACGAACGCUGGCGGCGUGCCUAAUACAUGCAAGUCGAACGCUUCUUUCCUCCCGAGUGCUUGCACUCAAUUGGAAAGAGGAGUGGCGGACGGGUGAGUAACACGUGGGUAACCUACCCAUCAGAGGGGGAUAACACUUGGAAACAGGUGCUAAUACCGCAUAACAGUUUAUGCCGCAUGGCAUAAGAGUGAAAGGCGCUUAUGGUGUCACUGAUAGAUGGACCCGCGGUGCAUUAGCUAGUCGGUGGGGUAACGGCCUACCGAGGCGAUGAUGCAUAGCCGACCUGAGAGGGUGAUCGGCCACAUUGGGACUGAGACACGGCCCAAACUCCUACGGGAGGCAGCAGUAGGGAAUCUUCGGCAAUGGACGCAAGUCUGACCGAGCAACGCCGCGUGAGUGAAGAAGGUUUUCGGAUCGUAAAGCUCUGUUGUUAGAGAAGAACAAGUAAGAUAGUAACUGAUCUUGCCUUGACGGUAUCUAACCAGAAAGCCACGGCUAACUACGUGCCAGCCGCCGCCGUAACAC
Molecule: ribosomal RNA, 526 nt
Filed under: uncultured bacterium
Lineage: Bacteria
Description: bacterial SSU rRNA
Rfam family: Bacterial small subunit ribosomal RNA
Source: RNAcentral